Molecule: non-coding RNA, 564 nt
Organism: Ictidomys tridecemlineatus (thirteen-lined ground squirrel)
Lineage: Eukaryota; Metazoa; Chordata; Mammalia; Rodentia; Sciuridae
Source: RefSeq, a predicted model, not a curated record
CAGGACUCUCCUGGUUGCUCACCAUGACGUCGCCUUUGAGAAGAAGGGCUGGCUCCAAGCUAAUGCAAAGCUGCUGGGGACCAGGACCUUCGAUGUGACUGGGGGGCAGAAAGAAGGCCUGUUGCUUUCUACUCCACUAGCAUGUAAGCCCAUGAGAGCAGGGACCUGGUUUGUUCUGGAUUCUCAACACUAGCACAAUGCCUGGCAUAGAGGAGUUGCCCAAUUAAGCUGUGCUUCGUGAAGAAGAGAAUCUGGCCCAUUCCCACCCAGGCUGCUCACCGGCGCUGGGAAGGCUGCAGUUCUGUGGCCACCUUGUCCUCGCAAAAUUUUCGCAUGGAAGAGAAGAGGAGACACAGGGAUACAGACACACACCAUGUGAUGAUAGAGGCAGAGGUUGGAGUGAAGCAGCUGCUAGUCAAGGUAUGCCAAGGAUUGCCAGCCACCACCAGAAGCUAGAAGGAGGCAGAGGAAAACAGUACCCAGGUUCACAGCACAAACCCAGACACGGUGAUUUUGGACUUCUAGUCUUUAGAACUGUGAGGUAAUAAAGUUUGAUUAUAUUAA